RNAcentral lists this ribosomal RNA (441 nucleotides) under uncultured bacterium. Its description in RNAcentral is "partial 16S ribosomal RNA". It matches the Rfam family "Bacterial small subunit ribosomal RNA", at positions 338 to 795 of the family's 1533-position model. The record is from RNAcentral.
CCUACGGGGGGCAGCAGUGGGGAAUAUUGCACAAUGGGGGAAACCCUGAUGCAGCGACGCCGCGUGAGUGAAGAAGUAUUUCGGUAUGUAAAGCUCUAUCAGCAGGAACGAGACAAGACGGUACCUGACUAAGAAGCCCCGGCUAACUACGUGCCAGCAGCCGCGGUAAUACGUAGGGGGCAAGCGUUAUCCGGAAUCACUGGGUGUAAAGGGAGCGUAGACGGCUGAGCAAGCCUGAAGUGAAAGGCAGGGGCCCAACCCCUGGACUGCUUUGGGAACUGUACGGCUGGAGUGCAGGAGAGGUAAGUGGAAUUCCUAGUGUAGCGGUGAAAUGCGUAGAUAUUAGGAGGAACACCAGUGGCGAAGGCGGCUUACUGGACUGUAACUGACGUUGAGGCUCGAAAGCGUGGGGAGCAAACAGGAUUAGAUACCCUGGUAGUC